RNAcentral lists this ribosomal RNA (253 nucleotides) under uncultured bacterium. RNAcentral describes it as "partial 16S ribosomal RNA". It matches the Rfam family "Bacterial small subunit ribosomal RNA", at positions 524 to 776 of the family's 1533-position model. The record is from RNAcentral.
UACGUAGGGGGCGAGCGUUAUCCGAAUUCACUGGGUGUAAAGGGAGCGUAGACGGCCAAGCAAGCCAGGGGUGAAAGCCCGGGGCCCAACCCCGGGACUGCCCUUGGAACUGCAUGGCUGGAGUGCGGGAGGGGCAGGCGGAAUUCCUGGUGUAGCGGUGAAAUGCGUAGAUAUCAGGAGGAACACCGGCGGCGAAGGCGGCCUGCUGGACUGCGACUGACGUUGAGGCUCGAAAGCGUGGGGAGCGAACAGG